UGGCGAAUGUAUGGUAUAUGGUGAUGAUGGUGAUAACAAUGGUGAAAGUCUAAUUCCACUUUUGCUCUUUUGAGGGGAUACAUACCUUUCUUGCUCUUUUGAAACUUGGGGAGAAUGAGAUGGUCUAUAUUUUCUUUUUCUUUCCUCUCAGGUGGGUAUCUUGUACCUCUAAUUCUACUGUCGGACACUUGUCCAAUUUUACCUCUCGUCUCACUUUUUCUUUUCUUUCGAGGUUCCGGGCACUUGCUCUUUUUAUUUCCUCAUAUCUUCUUUUUUUAGAGUACUCAUCUCCUGAAAAUAUAGCAAGUGGUAGUAACCAAGAUAACUUGAACAUUUAUUUCACAAGGGAAAAAUAGAAAUAGUUUUGGCUAUUCUCUCCCGGAUUAGGAGUAGAAUAUUUUUGGGUGGUUCUGGAGAUGGAAAUGAGUGGAUAUAUGUGGAUGCGUACUUCCGAAGUAGAAGCAGCAUGUGUGAGUGAACGUGCAAGUGAAUCUUGAUUUAACCACAUGACAAGCUCCUAAGGGUCUACACAGCUUGACCACACUCAAUGCUCAUAAGCAGUAAAAAGUAAAUGUGUGACUCAAAGUCUAGCAAGCAUGUAUAUACGGCUAUGGUAGGAAUUUAAACUCUCAUCAUACAGGAACUCAUCAUGCAAUAUUUUAAAGAUUUUUCUAAGAUAAAAUUCUCCACAAUUCUAGCAUCUCUAGGAAUAGAUAAACAGCAGCUCAACCUUCCCAUAUCAUACCCAUUAACAACUUAGACUUCAGAUCAAGUUCUCUUCCCACAAGUUCAGGUUUAGAGCAAGCUUUAAAUUAUAACAGUUAUGUCUAAACUUGAGAGAAAACUCAGAAAAUUAGGCAGAGCAACUAUUCAUCACAUUCAUGCUAGAGUUUUAUUAUUAAGAUUCAGUUUAGCAUAGUCACUUUAUUUAUUUAUUAAACAUACUAAGCAAAAGAUAUAUAUAUAUAUAUAUAUAUAUAUAUAUAUAUAUAUAUAUAUAUAAGCAUAAAAUCUUUAUUUGGUUUUCCAUAGUUAUGUAUAUUUAUAUUUUAAUAUAGUAUAAGUAUAAAGAUAGAUAGAAAUACUUAGCGAGAUAAAUGGGGGUGCUGUCCCCAAGCUGAAUUUUGACAUAAUUUCUUCUGAUGUAGCUAGCAGGUGGCAGAGGUAUAUUUGAAAGUCAGUAGUAUCUUGACAGCGAUUAGAAUGUCCUCCGUCUGCUAGUCUUCUUGAUUCUUAAAUUCUGUGGAGCUCAAAUAGACAACAAAGCUUUGUGGAACUGAUUAGGUGUUAGCAUAAAUAUCUAGCCUUUAUCAUGUUGAGCCUCCUCAAUAAAUGUUACUCUCUAUUUUUAUAUUUUCGUUUUAUAAAGCAGAAAAUAAAUAUUUAUUCUAUUUUUAUGCCACUACAGUGAAUGUACUUAUGGGUUUUAUGCCACUCGUAUACUCACAUGGGGCUUACUAUUUUUUUAACAUUUUUAUUUUCUUUUUUAGGAUAGUAUGAACAUAAUUAACUAAGUAAACUAUUUUAAAUAUUUGAAAGGAAAAGGAUAACUACCAAGUUUACCUUUUGGCAAUGCGUUCGGUGUUUUGAAGUCCUCCGAACAGGACUCUCUGUUUUCUUCAGUUGUUAUGGGAUUCAUUGGGUGGCGUAGUCGGUGCUUCCGGCGGUGCCUCUUCUUCGUGUAUAGUUAUCUUCUCUCUCCACACCUGACUCGGUGCUACGGUCUCCUCAGGAUAAUCUUGUUCAAGCUGUAUGUCUUCUGAUCUUAUCACUUCUCCUUCAUAGUCUGCCCAUCCGUCCUUGAUGAUUUGCCUCUUCUGGUUGUGGUUGCGUCUUCUUCUUCUUGUCCUGACCUGCUUAGAGUCUUCAACGAUAUAGUUAGGGUCACUAAAAUAGCGGCGUACCUUCUCUGAGGGGAAGUGCAUAUGAACUUCUCUAGUUCCAAUGUAGAUGAUUGCUUUAACGGUGCUGAGGAACGGUCUUCCAAGGAUGACGAGUGGAUCGUAUUCGUCUUCUCCCAUGUCAAUAACCUGAAAGUCUGUGUAGACAAAAUGAUCAUCUAUUUUGACAGGGACAUCCGUUACUAUACCUUUAACCUCUUGAAAUGUCUGAUCUGCCAUCUGGAGCUGAAUGUAUGUUGGUUUUAGGGGCAUGGUACCGAACAGGAGCUGAUAGGUGACUGCGGUCAUUAUGUUGACGCCCGAUCCGGUGUCGCAAAACGUCUUGUAGAAGUUGUACCCAUUUAUGGAGCAAUAGAUGCUUGGCAUUCCUGGGUCGUCCUUCUUGGUCAGAAACAGUGACUUAAGUCGAUGAUCUUGUCCUUCAUGAACUGCAGUGACAAUCUUAGCUGACUCGGUCCACACUUGCUUGUUCCUGUUCCUCCUGUUGGUCCUCUUCCUUGGUUCAUGUCGGGAUUGCUCUGGGAUUUGUGUAGUCUUGUUCUUCCUUGGUUCAUGUCGGGAUUGCUCUGGGAUUUGUGUAGUCUUGUUCUUGAAGAAAAACGUCUCCUUCCUCCCUUUGAUGUAGAAUCUGAUCUUGGCAGCACUAGCGUAGAUGACAGCUCCCGAGGUGUUUAAGAAUGGCCUCCCUAAGAUAAUGGGUGCCCUCUCAUCAUUACCGGUCUCUAUCACCACGAAGUCUGCUGGGGCGUACAAGGUACCAACUCGGACACAGAGGUUCUUCAAUAUUCCCUUUGGGAAGCUUAAUGCCUGAUCUGCAAACUGCAAACACAUGGUUGUUUCUAAUAAAAGGAUAUGUAAAGAAUUUUUCAUAGAGUACCCUGGGCAUAAUGUUGACAUUGGAGCCAAAGUCGCAGAGUGGUUCUGGAAAGUCCACCAUGCCGAUGGAGAUCGGGAUGACGGGGCGUCCUGGAUCGCCUCUCUUGACCGGUAGAAGGUCAGUAGUAACUUCAGUGACGGGGUUACUCCAGUAGUUACCUGCCACUACAAGAAAUGUGUCAUCUUAUGAUGAUUAUGGCAUGACAUGUGAUCAAAAUGUCACUAAAUCGAUCAGUUUAUGACGUUCAUUUGAAAGCCAUCUCAACUUAGUGACAUAUAUGAUUUAAUGUCAUAAAAAAUGUCUUCAAUGUAGUGAAACUCCAUAUCGUGUCAAUGUUUGCCAUGUUAGGGGUUGUUUAAUUCCCAAAAAAUUUUCAAAAUUUGUCAAGAUUUUUCGUCACAUCAAAUCUUAUGGCACAUGCAUAUAGAUAAAAAUAACUAACUGCACACUGUAAUUUGUGAGACAAAUCUUUUGAGCCUAGUUAGUACAUGAUUAGACAAUAAUUAUCAAAUAUAAAUAAAAGUGCUAUAGUAGCCAUUUUGCAAAAUUUUCUGCAACUAAACAGGACUUUAAUGUUGACAAGGUAACAGUAAUAUGUCUGUGUUUAUAUGUGGGCCUGCAUAUUUUUUAUUUUGUUCUUUAGCUUUCUUCUUUUAUUGAAAAAAGAGAGAAAGAGAAAAAUUCUCAAAACACAAAAGAAAAAAGGAACAGGGAGAUAAAGACCCACGCACAAAUGCCCACGGCCAACACACGCAGCACGCAACACACGGCCAACACACGCUACAUCUAUCUCCCAUCCGGAUCCCUCGCGACCUCCUCCUGGAAGACCGACGCCGACGUCCACGUCCUGCUCCUCCCUUCCCAACGCAAGCUCUUCCUCUCUCCAUUCUCCGUUGUUGAUGUCGCCCUGCUUCCUAGAUGGACCAUGGCGGCGGGUCAGGCUCGGUGCGUGAGCUCCUAGCCACCGGCCGGAACCCUAGCCGCCGGUCAAAAUCCUAGCCACCGGCUGAAGGGGUGGCCGCACUUCUUCUCCGCCGACCAGAUCAAUUGUGGAUGGCCGUCCUUCUUCUUCUCCAGUCAGAUGCACGGUGAGUCGGCUGCCCUUCUUCUCCUCUGGCCAGAUCCACGACAUGGCAGCGAACUCCAGGACGCGGUGGCACCGGCUGCAGUAGCAGGUUUGUUGUUCCCUCUCUUUUUCCCCUCUCUCUUGCAGGCUGUGCGAUGGAUCUAUGGGUGGUGGAUCUGGUGUGGCGGGGUCUCCGCAUGGUGGUGGCUCUCCGGAUUCGGUCCACAAAAUCUUGGAAGGUAAAAUGACAAUGCAUACAAAGUUUUGCUAUCAUGAUUAGUUUAGAAGAUGGUUUUGUACGGCAGAUGGUAGAUCUAGAGCAGAUGGUGUGUUGUCAGAUUUUUUUUUGUUCCUAGUUGCCGUAUGUAGAGCAACUGGUAUGGAUAUUGAUAGAUUUUUUACUACUGCCUUAUGAUUCCUUUAACUAAUGUAAAAAAUAAUGAUAAAGCAAAGAAAGGAUAUGUGCUAUUUUGUAUUUUAGUGUAGCUUUAUAAUGUUAUUAUCCGAUCUAUUUUCUGCUUGAAUUCCAAUCACUAUGUCUGGCUGUAAAUUUGGUGGUUCAGUGCUAAUCACUAUGUGUGGCAUUAAAUAUCAAAGAUAUAUGAUGCUCUUGAUAUGCACUUGGCCAUAUAUGUUGAAGACAAUGUCUGGCAAUAGUUCGUAUAAAUUUGAGAAUUAUUUUAUUGUGUGGAAAAAAUGCAUAUCAUACCAGCACUAAUCAAGUGCACUUGUUCUUUGUUGUGCACUUUUCUGCAACUUUUAGGUAUAUGUACUUGGGGUACAGGAGAAUAAAGGAGGCUUAAUCUGGCUGGUCUGGUCUUUGAAGAUUGAAAUCAGGUUCAUAGUCAAUAUUGGUCUGGUAUUAUACCUUUGCUGGUCCGUGAAUAUUGGGAUCAAUUGCUUCUUUUUUUGUGCCUUGAUGAAGUGGUUGAAUAGUGUUUUCUUUGCCAGUUUCAUGUGGAGGAAUCCAUUCAGUAUUGGAAAAUUAAGAUGGCAGAAUAUAUUCUGGAAUUACUAUUUUCUUGCCAGGUGCUCACUACUUGUAAGUAUUUUCAAGGUCUAUACUAGGAUAUGUAGAUGGUCCUUGGGUCAUUUGACCAUCUUUGUUGCUAUUUUAGAAGAGCCUUAAAAGUAGCUAAUUUAUAUUCUCUCCAUCCAUAGUCACAUUAUAUUAUUGUUUGUAUAUACUUGAAAUUAUGUGGUAUUUGCCUCUAUAAUUUGUGUGUUGAUCAGCGGCACGCAGGCGGACUGAUCUGGUCUGAAAAUAUCCAUAAUGUUCUCCUUGUUGGGAUCCUAGUGAAGGCUUAUUAAGGUGAUUACACUAUUAGUUCAAUGCUUAUGAAAAUGCUAUGAUCAGAUACACAACUACUGAUUCUGACGGUAACAUAUCAGGCUAGCUAGGAGCAUAGAAAUUUUGGUCCUUGUCGCUACUAUUUUAGUGUCCCAUUCUAGAGGCUGGACCAUCUUACAACAUAUGCCUUUCUAAGGCUACCAAAUAAUAAAGCAAUUGAGCAUUCACAACUUUCUGAUUGCAGAGAUGGGCCACUAAGGUGCAAAAAACACCUGCACUUUUCUCCUUGCAUCAAACGUAUGACACCCAGUUUCCCUUUGAUGGAUAAAUAAAGUUAGCUGAUCAUGUAAAUAUCAUAUGAGGUAAGUAUAAUAGGGUUGGUGAUAUGGGAGGCAGAUUCAUUUGAGGCCUCCACCACAGCUUCUCUAGACCCUGCUUAAGAGCUAAUAGAAGCCUAUAUUCGGUCCUAAUGCUUAAACCAACAAACAGGUUCAUAUUAAAAUCUUGGGGAACAGAACUAACCUAAUGAUGGGUUUUAUGCAAAACUGAUGUGCCAGAUGGUUGGGCUCUUAGGGAUCCUACUAAUUUUCAGUUCUCGAGCCCCUAGUGAACAUUAGGUUACUUUUAGCCAAAGAGAGUAGGCUGUUGCCAUCUAUGCUUGGGGUGUGCUUGGUCUGAAGCGUUGCAAAUGACUGUUCGGCAUCAUUCUGGUGAUGUAUUUUUUGGUGUGUUGAUUUCACCGUUUGCUAGUACUAACUUCUCAUGAACGAGAUAUGCAGAUUGAUUGAUGUCCGAGCUGCAGUAUGCGUUGUUUCCUUCCAAUCAGGCCGCUGAUGCACCUUUUGGGACUGCUGAUGCUUGGCCUGCCCUACCAAUAAUGACCCCCUGAUGUAGACUUCAGUUUUGCAGGUUAUCAUUGCUUUGAGUCUGGUGCAACCAGUUUCGUUGCCCUUCGGUGUGCAACCGUGCGUCAUUCCCUGAUCCAACUAGAAUUAUAGCUAUUCAGCGGCGCAUUAGGCAGUGAACUUCUGCACUGCAGUUUUUGCGUGUGUCAUACGUUUGAUGUGAGUAAAAUACCUGAUGCUUCUGUGCACCUGUGAGUACAUUUGAGCAGGACAAUAGUUGGUCAUGAGUCAUCUUUACUUCUUUAGUUAUCUCGGUUAUGUGUAGUUCUAAACCUGAGACGCUACUAUAUCUGAACCUGAUACUAUUGUAGAACCUGAGACUAUGAUCCUUAUCUGAAACUUUAUAGGUAGAACUAUCUCAUCGAGUAGUUCUUGCGGAACACUCUUCCAUUGUGAUCUUGUAGCAAUAAUAUAAGCCAAGAUAAGAAAAAGAUAACCAAAUAUCCACUAAUUGUUCUGAAAAUAAAUAGUUUUGUAUUUGAGGCUGUUAUCUGUAUACUAGAAUUGAAUAUGAAAGUUUUAAUACUCCUCCACAUUGCAACUUAUAUAUAGUAUAUUAUAUUCGAAAAUAUAUUUGGCUACACACAAGAUACGUUUUUUCACGUAACUUCAGAAGGAUUUUCAAUUUUUAUUUAAAAAUUAGACAAAAUAAUCAAACCACAUAAAUUAUCUGCUCCAAUCAUGUAAUCUGUUAUCCUGCUCUAAUGCUCCAAUUGUGAGUCAAGAAUAUGUCACUGCUUGGAGGGAUAUCUAUCUACAUAUCUUUAAUUUUUUACUGUUCUGAAAUAAGUGUUGUUCCAGUUUUGAAAACGUUUCCUAAUUUUUGACUUCAAGAUGUUACAGUUGAUUGGAGAUAUGCCUUGCUAAGUUCAUUUGUUCUGAAAAUAUUUGGUGUAGUGAGAUCAUAUAUGAAUAGAUUAUUAUAACUGUUGUUUGAUUUGUUCCAGCUUACAUAUGUGACGUUCCUUUUUGACUUUUUUCAUUUGUUUCAACGAGUGAUGUUUGUUUCUGAUGUAUUUUCUACAGGACAUGGAGAAAUUCUAGCAACCUAAGGUACUCACUCAUGCUCCUGACACCAAGAAGACCUAGCUGCCAGCACCUAUUGAGCUAUUAGUUUGGUGACUAAGGUCACUUGUGAGAUAGGGAUGUGAGGUUUCAUUUAUUUACUUUAUCUGAGAUAUCUUUGUGACUAAGGUCACUUGUUGAACUAUAGUUUCAUGUUCAUGAUGAAUAUAGUAAAUAUGUUGAUGAAUGACUUGUGAACCUAUUGAUUUGGCCAUGAAUGGAAUAUAUUGUUGAACCUACAGAUGUUAAUGUGGAUUGUUUGAUGUGUGGGUGGGGUACGUGAUGGUGUGGAUCGAGGCCUAAGAACCUAUGACAUAAAAGUAGAAGUCAUAAACGCUUGUGACAUCCGAAACCAAUGUCAUAAUAUUAUGACAUGAACACUUAAACGUCACAAGUUGUUAUUAAAGACGCGCAUCUUUUGACAUUUCAGUUUUCGUCAACUUUGUGUCAUAAAUGGUGAUCUGUGACUUAUUUAGCAUGAAUUAUGACAUAUAUCAAAUGUCAAAAGAGGACAUAUUUCUUGUAGUGUGCAUCAAACAUGUCUACAAGAUUUGCAGAUUCUAAUCCUUCCGGUUGUGAUGGUAUACCGGGGUUAGUAGUAGGAACAACAGUAGCUAUUUGAUUUAACUGAGAUUUAAUCAUUUUAUUAAAGCUAAUUUGAUUCAUGAUGGCAGUAGAGAAAUUAUCCAUUCUAUUAUUUAUAUUUUCUAGCAUUUUAUCAUUAGAUGCCAAUUUCUUAGAUAGGUUAUCCAUUAGCUUUCCUUGAUUAGACACUAACCUCUCAGAGGUGGAAAAUUAUUAUUAUUGUUGUAAGAAUUGUUGCCUUGAUAAUUACCUGAGUAGUUAGGCCUCUGUUGAUUCCAACCUUGAUUUUGUUGAGGACGGUUGUAGUAGGAGUAGUUGUUGUUGUUGAUGUAGUUCACAUCCUCAAGCAUCUCAGGGCAGUGAUUGCCUGAGUGUCCACUAUCUCCACACUCCUCACAAGUGAUGUGAGAGUCGUAGAUAUGCAUAACUUCUUUCUUAUCUCCAGCUCUAUCAUCGAGCUUCUUCAUGAGUAGGUCUAGCUUUGCACACAACAUGUCUACCUCCUUGAGCUGAUGCAUACCUCCACCUUUCUUGCGUGUCUGGGUCCUCUCUUCAUUCCAGCUUUGGUUGGACGCCAUCUUCUCCACAAGAGCUGUGGCUUGUGAUAUGGUGAGUGAUAGGAAUGCUCCUCCAGCUGCAGCAUCCAUGGUUUCUCGGGUACUGUUGCCAAGCUCAUGAUAAAACGUCUGCAUUAGUAGCCAACUCUCCAUUCCAUGAUGGGACAUUCUAGGAUGUAGUCUUGGAAGCGCUCCCAUGCUUCUGGAAUAGAUUCAUCAUGUUGUUGCUGAAAACUUGUAAUUUUCCCGCGGAGUGCAUUGGUCUUGCCCAUGGGAAAGAACUUAGCCAGGAAGUUCGUGGAGCAAAGUGCCCACGUAGUAUUCUUCUCCUUUGUAGCGUAGAACCACUGCUUCGCUCUCCCUAACAGUGAGAAUGGGAAGAGGCGAAGUAGUAUAGUAUCUCUGGGGACUCCUGAUAUGGUGAAUGUGCUGCAUAUCUCCAGAAAGUGUUGGAGAUGAGCACUAGCAUCUUCGUGGGCCUUCCCAUAGAAUUGGUUGGAUUGCACCAUGUUGUUAAGUCCAGGCUUGAGCUCAAAGUUGCCGUCGAUAUCUGCAGCAGGUCCAGUGCGGAUGUUGUCCGUAGUGGGAGCUGAGAACUCACGGAUCGAUUUGUUCGCCAUGACUUCGAACUCUGAAAACAAGUUCUGGUGAUCUUCUUGAUUGGAUGAAGCUUCUUGCUGAAGUGUUGAUGAUCUCUUCUUGAGCUUAGCUCUUGUUUUUCUGAAUAACGCUUCGGGAUUGUCAACAAAAUUUCCAGGAAGAUGUCUUCUAUUCAUACAUUACCCUGCAUAAGAUAAAAUAGAAAAAUAUCAGGGUAAAACUAUAUGAGAGAAUUGAUAAGCUCAAUCAUAUUAGUGAUGCGAAUGAUGACUCAAAAUUCUAUAUUCAUUCCUGAUUAGUAAUCAACCUUCCCCGGCAACGGCACCAAAAAUGCUUGUUGGGCAUUCUUAACGUCACUACCAAAAGUAGACUUAGUUUUCUAAUUCUGAUAGCGGUGCCAAAAAUGCCAAACCUAUCUCUCAUGCCACUUAAGCCAAGUUGUCAUCCCCAGCAUGACAUGAGAGACGCGGUAUUGAAAUAUGCAAUUGCUCUUCUAAAUAAAUAACAAAUGAGAUCUGCAAGCGCAUAGAUUAAUACCGAUGUAGCAUUUUAACCGGGAAGAAUUCCAGGUAUCGUUAUUUUUAUUUUUACCACUGGGAAGGGAUUGCUAAACAUCAAUGUUGAUUAUAGAAUGGAAUAUAAGAUUGAGUAUCUAUCAUUGCAUGUAUAAUUGAGAACAUUUAUCUAACUCUUUCAUACAGGGAUAAGUGAAACAUAAAGGAUAUAUAAAGUAAUGAAUAGUGAUAAAGAUAAUUAAUCUGAUCAGCAUAACUUAGCCACAUAUAAAUAUGAUAAGCACCUCAAUUAGAUAUUCUAGCAAGUCAUUAGCAUGGAAUUAGAACGAACUACAAGAAUAUUUCCUAAGUUAUUCUUAACUAUACAGUCUAGCAUAUCAUAGUUAGUGCAAUUAUACUUAGCAAUCAUUGUGAGACAAGAUUACACCCAUGCAUAGUGAUAUUAUCAAGGAAUAUGAGAAACAUCGCAAUCACUCUCCUGUAAUAAUGUCGCUCUGCCAGCCCAAUAGACGAGAGGGGGAGUAUAUAAGAAUCCUAUGUAGCUAUGCUUAUCUAGAGAUCUAAUUGAUGUGGUGGCUCUAGGCUUGAUCAGAGGCUUCUUCUCCUUGAUGAAUAAUGAAUUAGGGUUGAGAGGUGCUCUCCUCCAGGGGCCAGGGGUCUAGUUAUAUAGACCUUUCAAGUGAAUAUGGGCCGUCGGAUCAAACCGACAUUGAUUGAACGGUUAUCCUUGAUCCUUUAGGUCAGUGGAGCGUGAUCUGCGAAACGAGUCCGGAUUGGAUACCAAAGGGGGGCGGGCGCCCUGGGCCAGGCCCCGUUCUGCCUCCGCUUCGUUCCCGUGGCUUCUGGAGUCUUCUAGAUGAUAGAAAAUUGCACGACACGUUAAUAUCUCUAUGUAAUACCGAUGUGUGGGCCUUUCUUCCGUAUUUCCUGAUAACCCCCUGCAGAAAUAGACAAAACCAAAACUCGUGGAAUUCUGUCAGAUAAAACCCUAAGUCUAGAUGUUGAUUGCAUUUGGAUCCUUUUCUUUGUUUAUUUGAUAAUUAAAUUUGAUACUUAAGGACCGUCAACACUCUCUACCCUUCAACUUCCACUUCGUUUUUAAAGUGUGCCAACACCUCCAUGUGUGUACCAACAUGUGCAAGUGUGUUAGCAUUUUCACAAUCAUUUUCUUCGAAGGUGUUAAGUUAGCUCACUAGGUUCUAAAUGCAUGCACAAGAACAAUGACACCUAGUGGCACUUGAUAACCGCUUAGCCAAAGAAUUCCCCUAUUUAUAGUACGACUAUCUAUCCUAAAUGUGAUCACACCCUUUAUGGUGUCUUGAUCACCAAAACCAAAACCCUAAGCAAUUCCUUUUCCUUGAUCUCCAUAAGGUUUUGUUUUUCUCUUUCUUCUUUUCCGAGUUGAGUACUUGAUCAUCUUGUGGUCAUCACCAUCAUCACCAUGAUGAUUACUUGCUCCAUCACUUAGCACGUACCAACCUCAUUAAGUCUACACACACUUAGUAUAGAGGUUAGUACUAGGGUUUCAUCAAUUAUCCAAAACCAAACUAGGGCUUUCACCAGACCCCCCUAGAGGAGGCUAGAUCAAGAGAUGAAGAGUUAGAGCAUUAGUAGAGAUCCACUAGAUCUAGGCUAGUAAUCACGAUAGAGAUUAGAGAGAUAGAGUAGAGGAGUAGAGAUUAGGAGGAGUCUUGGCCUGUCAGAGCUUCCUCAGGAGCUGUAUUUGUCUGGAUUCGGCUCCCUCGCCUAGAGCUACGUUCUGAGGUACUUUUGUAUUUACCAUUCUAAUUCAAGUAAGCAACUUGUUUUUAUUCGUUCUUUGGUUUGCAACUCAUAUUAUAUUGAGUACUUCGAUUUAGGUAGCUCCUAGGUCGGAGUAGUGAUUCAUAGCAUAGACGUGGUGUCCGGGCUAUGGUUGCUUGUAGAUGUCCCCUGAUCAGCCGGACAGUGGUAGCUCGCAUAGGUGACUUUAUAGCUAUGUUGAAUCCUCUGUAGUCCACUUCCCAUUGAUAGGACUGAUAGGCUUAUUGGUGCCUGGUAGGAGAUUACUCUGUUUCUUCUCAUAUUCGGGUUACUUGUCCGAUAAGAUGAUAUUAUACAAAGUUUACCGGUUAUUAGAACCAAAGUACAUUAGCUAUUUCCUCAUUCUCAAUAGUUUUCUAGAUUGUUUGUACCCCCUUAGAUUAAGAGUUAUAGGCUAAGUUGAAAGAGAAUCUAGGCCCCUAAUGAUUUCGGUGAUUAAUGACAAUGUUGAUUUCUGUGACUAACGUGUGUUUUGUAGAGGCACAAUCAUUAGUGAGGUCAUGGAAAUAUGUACUCGAUGAACAGGGACAUACAUGCCUACUUAAUAGUGGAAAUCAUUUCGGUUUUCAAAGGAUGGAUGGACAUCGUCAAGACUAGACUAGGUCUAAGUGCCAUAUGGUGAAGAAGGGCACUUAUAGUAGUUUAGGACUUUGUUUUCCUUUGACCGUACUAUUAAGAGGGGAUUUGAUCUAGUAGCUUGACUUAGGCAAGGCUUUAGGUUUAGGUGUGGUGCACACUUGGUAAACCUAGCACUAUGCAGCUCAGAGACAGUCCUUAGAUCGAGAGGAACCAACUUCGUUUUUGAACGGUCGCGUUUCGACGAAGUUAGGGUGCCUAAGUAGGCACCGGACGCUGUUGACACUUGCUAACACCACUUGAAUACUAGGUUGUCAUCCCCAGCGUGGCACUAGAGUGUACUAUGGUAUUUAUACGCACACAGAUAAUCCGCAAGCGCACGGAUACCGUUGAAGCUUUUACCCGGUUAAAGGUUUUAUCGUAUCCACAGGGAAACAGGAGAACUGAUCUACGCUCUAACUUAACCAAGAUAAGUAAAUAGGUGUGAAUAGGAAAGAUAGUAGAAUCGAAUAAGAACAAUACUAAAGGUAAGAUAACAGUGAGUGAUAAUAUGGGAAUAGAGAGUAGAGCAAUUCUAGUAUAUGGGCGAUGGUAGCAGAAUAGAGAGGAUAACUAUGGUUUCUCUACUUCAAAGGGGUAUGUCUAUGUCUGGGACGAACCAUGUGAUAAGAGUACACCACAAAGGAUGCUUAUCCAUAGGCCGAUAAACCCUACCCGUCCUGCUAACGAGAGGUGGACUACAGGGGACCAACGUAACUGUCACCUACGCGGCCUACCACACGAUCCAGCUAGUCAGGGGAUAUCCACAAGUAAUCUAGGUCUAAGCACCACGCUUACACCUAUACUACAACUCUAACCUAUAGGGUCCUAUAGAUUAGAAGUACUCAAAAGAGUUGUGAACCAGAACAUACAUGAUUAGUAAUUGCAUAAUGAAUUAGAAGUAGAUUACCAGAGUCAUCCCAUGAGCAAGCUUGAUUAGAGCUUGAUCAUGGCGAAGUACAACCGGAGGAAGAACCGACAGGCCGGCCUCUCCUCUAAUCCUCCUUCGCUCUCCAUCUCGCUACUAUCUAGAUCUACUCUAGUUUAGAGAAGAGAGGAGAGCUCUCAUCUCUAAACCCUAGCUUUUUCUCUGUCUAUGAAUAAUGAAUAAUGAUCAAGGGGUUGCCUCCUCCAGGGGCCAGGGGGUCUAGUUUUAUAGUCCCCUCAAGUGAACCUGGGCCGUCGGAUCAAACCGACAUUGAUUGAACGGUUAUUCUUGAUCCUUUAGGUCGGUGGAACAUAAUCCGCGAGAUUGAGCGUGAUUGGCCACAGGAGGUGGGCGGGCGCCCAGUAGGACAGGGCGGGCGCCCUGUCUCUGGCCCCGUUUCGCCUCCGCUUGGUCUCGUGGCUUCUGGAGUCUUCUAGAUGUAAGAUAAUUGCGCGGCACGUUAAUAUCUUUAUGUAAUCCCGACGUGUGGGCCUUUCUUCCUUAUUUCCUGAUAACCCCCUGCAGAAAUAGACAAACACCAAGUCUUGAUGUUGAUUUCAUUUGGAUCCUUUUCUUUGUUUAUUUGAUAGUUAAAUUUGAUACUUAAGGACCGUCAACAAACUCCCCCAAGCUUACCUCUUGCUCGUCCCUGAGCAAGGAUAGACUUUGCAAUGGAUCAGAAGUUGUUGCAAUAUCUUAAAAAUUUAACGGUACACAUGCUUUAAAUAAGAUCUCAUUUCUAAGUUAGAGUAAACUGUCAAGAACUAAAACUUACUUUACCUUUCACCAUGGGACUUGUAACCGUCACUUCUGUCUUGAGUAGUUAAAAGAUAGAACAGUCUAGCCAAGUGCCAUGUCUCUUAUUCUUGAUCAGCUAUAGCUCUGGAGUUUUUUUUGCAGAUUUUCAAAUAAAACUCAGAGAUUCCUUUGUAUGACUCUCUCAUAUCUCUCUUUUGUGGUAUUUCUGGAUCCUUACCAAGGCAGUGAUGGUAUAUGCCUUCUCUCAAAAUAUGUGGUAUUUGUGGUAUAAGGCAUAGUGACAUUGCCUUCUCUCUCACCCUACUCUAAUAAGGCUUUAAUAUCUGGAGCUCAUAGGUGGGAGAUAAAGUAUACAUACUUACAAGACAUUUAUUGUAUAGUAAAACCAUGGAUCCAAAGAAACAAAUCAAUAAGCCAAAUCAAGAUGUGCAUGUGUGGCGAAUGAAUAGUGUAUGGUGAUGAUGGUGAUAACAAUGGUGAAAGUCUAAUUCUACUUUUGCUCUUUUGAGGGGAUACAUACCUUCCUUGCUUUUUGAAACUUUAUGAGGAGAAUGAGAUGCUCUUCUUUUUCUUUCCACUCAGGUGGGUAUCUUGUACCCCUAAUUCUACUGUCGGACACUUGUCCAUUUUUACCUCUCGUCUCACUUUUUUUCUUUUCUUUCGAGGUUCCGGGCACUUGCCCCUUUUUAUUUCCUCGUUUAUUUUUUUAUUUUAUUUUUUUUUCUUCUUUUUUUUAGAGCACUCAUCUCUUGAGAUAAUAUAGCAAGUGGUAGUAGCAAGAUAACUUGAGCAUUUAUUUCACAAGGGAAAAACACAGAUGUUUUUGGCUUUUCUCUCCCGAAUUAGGAGUAGAAUAUUUUUAGGUGAUUCUGGAGAUGGAUAUGGAUGGAUAUAUGUGGAUGGUACUUCCGGAGUAGAAGUAGCAUAUAUAUGAGUGAACGUGCAAGUGAAUCUUGAUUUAACCACAUGACAAGCUCCUAAGGGUCUACACAGCUUGACCACACUCAAUGCUCAUAAGCAGUAAAUAAUAAAUGUGUGGUUCAAAGUCUAGCAAGCAUGUAUAUAUGGCUGUGGUAGGAAUUUAAACUUUUAUCAUACAGGAACUCAUCAUGCAACAUUUUAAAGAUUUUUCAAAGAUAAAAUUCUCCAGAAUUCUAGCAUCUCUUGGAAUAGAUAAACAACAACUCAACCUUCCCAUAUCAUAUCCGUUAACAACUUAGAUUUCAGAUCAAGUUUUCAUCCCACAAGUUUAGAUCUAGAGCAAGCUUUAAAUUAUAACAGUUAUGUCUAAACUUGAGAGAGAACUUCAAAUUUGCAAAUUAGGCAGAGCAACUAUUCAUCAUAUCCAUGCUAGAGUUUUAUUAUUAAGAUUCAUAGCAAACUUUAUUUAUUUAUUUAGCAAACUAAGAAAAGUAUAUAUAUAUAAGCAUAAAAUCUUUAUUUGGUUUUUUUUAUAGUUUAUGUAUUUUAAUAUUCUAAUAUAAUAUAAGUAUAAAGAUAGGUAGAAAUACUUAGCGAGAUAAAUGGGGGUGCUCUCCCCCAAGCUGAAUUUUGACGUAAUUUCUCUUGAUGUAGCUAGCAGGUGGCAGAGGUGUAUUUGAAAGUCAGCAGCAUUCUGACAGCGAUUAGAAUGUCCUCCGUCUGCUAGUCUUCUUGAUUCUUAAAUUCUGUGGAGCUCAAAUAGACAACAAAGCUUGUGGAACUAAUUAAGUGUUAGCAUAAAUAUCUAGCCUUCAUCAUGUUGAGCUUCCUCAAUAAAUAUUACUCCCUCUUUUUAUAUUUUUAUUUUAUAAAGUAGAAAAGAAAUAUUUAUUUUAUUUUUAUGCCACCACAUUGAAGGUACUUAUGGGUUUUAUGCUACUCGUAUACUCACAUGGGGCUUAGUAUUUUUUAACAUUUUUAUUUUCUUUUCAAGAUAGCAUGAUUAACUAAAAAUCUAUUUAAGGAAAGUAAAUAAUUAAAGGGAAAAGGGAAUGCAGAAAGGAUAAAUAUGGAUAACUACCAAUCUUACCUUUCGGCGAGGGUUCAAUGUUUUAAGUCUUCUUGACAAGACUUCUCACCGUGUUCAUUCUUCAGGUGCGUCAUUUGAUUCAGGUGCAGACCUUGACGUCUGCACCUUUUAAUACGGUGUCACCCAUGUUCUUCGUUUGCCCAGCAGUUCGAAGUGAGGUGUUAGCAGUAUCUUGCUCAGUGUGUUUGUGCUCGUAGUGUACCUGCUCAUAGAGACAAGGCAGAGAUCAAGUGCGUGGGCCCUGUUGGUGGAAAACACCAACAGAACCAAAAGUGUAUUUGUUCUUCUCUAACCUUAAGCAUAGUGAGCAAGACAAAGUUGAUGGAUGAUAAGUUCAUGAGUGUAGCACUUAUAACAUUUGUCAGAUCAGAUCGCUCAACCUUAUGGAAAGAUAAUCUAUCUAUGUAUAUGUCUUUUUCUUUAUAUCUCUCAAUGAUUGAAUGUGUAACAUUUUAGCUCAUAUGAUUAGGAGUGUGGGAUCAUGGAGGUAGUACUAAGAACAAGGAUUAAAGGACUAAACAUGUUGAAUCAGUUGGGUUGGUUAAUCUAGAGUUGUAAAUCAUACACGUUUGUCUCUUUUAUUUAUAUGAACGCCAGAACCAAGGAGAAGCUUAUAAAAGUGAUAGUCAAGUACCUUAGGAUGUUACCUUGCUUGAAA
Molecule: long non-coding RNA, 16136 nt
Filed under: Sorghum bicolor (sorghum)
Lineage: Eukaryota; Viridiplantae; Streptophyta; Magnoliopsida; Poales; Poaceae
Description: long non-coding RNA (SBIC_LNC002715)
Rfam family: Plant small nucleolar RNA R71 (bases 8399-8504)
Source: RNAcentral